CCUACGGGCGGCAGCAGUGGGGAAUAUUGCACAAUGGGCGAAACCCUGAUGCAGCGACGCCGCGUGAGUGAAGAAGUAAUUAGUUAUGUAAAGCUCUAUCAGCAGGGAAGAAAAUGACGGUACCUGAGUAAGAAUCUCCGGCUAACUACGUGCCAGCAGCCGCGGCAAUACGGAGGCGGCCAGCGUUAUCCGGAUUUACUGGGUGUUAAGGGAGCUGAGACGGCAGUGCAAGUCUGGAGUGAAAGGCGGAGGCUCAACCUCCAGACUGCUCUGGAAACUGUACGGCUGGAGUGCAGGAGAGGUAAGUGGAAUUCCUAGUGUAGCGGUGAAAUGCGUAGAUAUUACGAGGAACACCAGUGGCGAAGGCAGCUUACUGGACUGUAACUGACGUUGAGGCUCGAAAGCGUGGGGAGCAAACAGGAUUAGAUACCCGUGUAGUC
RNAcentral lists this ribosomal RNA (440 nucleotides) under uncultured bacterium. RNAcentral describes it as "partial 16S ribosomal RNA". It matches the Rfam family "Bacterial small subunit ribosomal RNA", at positions 338 to 795 of the family's 1533-position model. The record is from RNAcentral.